AUGCUUCUCCUAAAGACUAAGCCAUGCAUGCCUUCGAAUAAGAGGAAGCAAUUCUCUCUGAAUCUGCGAACGGCUCCGCAAACCAGUUGUAAACUAUAGCAAGCAAGCCCGGGUCCCUCGGGGCUCGGGCAACACGGAUAACCCUGGUAAUUCUGAGGCUAAUACGAGAAAGUACUACCUGGUCGGCCGGGCAACCGGUCGGUCGGGAUGUGUGCGAUCUUCCGCUGAAUUUUUACCGGGAAUGGGCG
RNAcentral lists this ribosomal RNA (248 nucleotides) under Didymium environmental sample. Its description in RNAcentral is "partial 18S ribosomal RNA". It matches the Rfam family "Eukaryotic small subunit ribosomal RNA", at positions 28 to 245 of the family's 1831-position model. Lineage: Eukaryota; Evosea; Eumycetozoa; Physariida; Didymiaceae. The record is from RNAcentral.